RNAcentral lists this unclassified non-coding RNA (335 nucleotides) under soil metagenome. RNAcentral's name for it is "partial contains 5.8S ribosomal RNA, internal transcribed spacer 2, and large subunit ribosomal RNA". The stretch from base 1 to 120 matches the Rfam family "5.8S ribosomal RNA", at positions 35 to 154 of the family's 154-position model. The record is from RNAcentral.
GAUGAAGAACGCAGCGAAAUGCGAUAAGUAAUGUGAAUUGCAGAAUUCAGUGAAUCAUCGAAUCUUUGAACGCACAUUGCGCCCAUUAGUAUUCUAGUGGGCAUGCCUGUUCGAGCGUCAUUUCAACCCUUAAGCCUAGCUUAGUAUUGGGAAUCGACUUUACUGUCGUUCCUCAAAUUCAACGGCGGAUUUAUAGCAAUCUCUGAACGUAGUAAUUUUUUUCCUCGUUUUUGAAAUACUAUAAGCCUCAGCCGCUAAACCCCCAAUUUUUCUAUGGUUGACCUCGGAUCAGGUAGGAAUACCCGCUGAACUUAAGCAUAUCAAUAAGCGGAGGA